This 592-nucleotide ribosomal RNA is filed under the name Platyceps rogersi (Rogers' racer). Its description in RNAcentral is "partial 12S ribosomal RNA". The record is from RNAcentral. Lineage: Eukaryota; Metazoa; Chordata; Lepidosauria; Squamata; Colubridae.
AAAAUAAUAUAAACGGCGUAAAGCACGACUAAAAAUAAGUUAUACGUUAGAAAAUGAAGCAAAACUGGGCUGUAAAAAGCCAUAAGUCACAAUAACCACAUCUAACAAAAACAAAUUACACUCGUGAAAGUCAGGACACAAACUAAGAUUAGAUACCUUACUAUGCCUAACUGUAACACAACAAUUAAACUACCAAUUGUUCGCCAAAUAACUACGAGUAAAAACUUAAAAUUUAAAAGACUUGACGGUACCUCACAACAGCCUAGAGGAGCCUGUCCAUAACCGAUACUCCACGAUUAACCCAACCCACCCUAGCCAAUCAGUCUAUAUACCGCCGUGGCCAGCCUACCUUAUGAAAGAAAAAAAGUAAGCAAAACAGCCACACACUAACACGACAGGUGGAGGUGUAACUAAUGGGGGGGCCAAGAUGGGCUACAUUUUCUACUACAGAAUAUACGAAUAAACUAUGAAAAAGAAACUGAAGGCGGAUUUAGCAGUACACUGGAAACAUAUAUACUCAGUCGAAAUCAAUGCAAUGAGGUGCGUACACACCGCCCGUCAUCCCUGUUGACAAAUCUAAUACAUCCAUAAA